This 223-nucleotide ribosomal RNA is filed under the name uncultured bacterium. Its description in RNAcentral is "partial 16S ribosomal RNA". It matches the Rfam family "Bacterial small subunit ribosomal RNA", at positions 1278 to 1500 of the family's 1533-position model. The record is from RNAcentral.
GAAAGCCAUCUCAGUUCGGAUUGUAGGCUGCAACUCGCCUACAUGAAGUUGGAAUCGCUAGUAAUCGCGAAUCAGAAUGUCGCGGUGAAUACGUUCCCGGGUCUUGUACACACCGCCCGUCACACCACGAGAGUUUACAACACCCGAAGUCCGUAGCCUAACCGCAAGGGGGGCGCGGCCGAAGGUGGGUUCGAUAAUUGGGGUGAAGUCGUAACAAGGUAAC